Molecule: ribosomal RNA, 824 nt
Filed under: uncultured bacterium
Lineage: Bacteria
Description: bacterial SSU rRNA
Rfam family: Bacterial small subunit ribosomal RNA
Source: RNAcentral
GAGUUUGAUCAUGGCUCAGGAUGAACGCUGGUGGUGUGCUUAACACAUGCAAGUCGAACGGAGUUUAUACGGAAGGAGUCUUCGGACAACGGAAGUAUAAACUUAGUGGCGGACGGGUGAGUAACGCGCGGGUAACCUGCCUUAUACAAGGGGAUAACAGAGGGAAACUUCUGCUAAUACCGUAUAAAAAUAUUUCACGCAUGUGAGAUAUUUGAAAGAUUUAUCAGUAUAAGAUGGACCCGCGUCUGAUUAGGUAGUUGGUGAGGUAGAGGCUCACCAAGCCGACGAUCGGUAGCCGAUCUGAGAGGAUGACCGGCCACAUUGGGACUGAGACACGGCCCAAACUCCUACGGGAGGCAGCAGUGGGGAAUAUUGGACAAUGGGGGCAACCCUGAUCCAGCGACGCCGCGUGAGUGAAGAAGUAUUUCGGUAUGUAAAGCUCUAUCGAUAACGGAAGAAGAUGACAAGCCGUUAAGGAAGAAGCCCCGGCUAACUACGUGCCAGCAGCCGCGGUAAUACGUAGGGGGCAAGCGUUAUCCGGAUUUACUGGGUGUAAAGGGAGCGUAGACGGCAUAUAAAGUCUGAAGUGAAAUCCCGCAGCUCAACUGCGGAGUUGCUUUGGAAACUUAUAAGCUGGAGUGUCGGAGGGGUAAGCGGAAUUCCCAGUGUAGCGGUGAAAUGCGUAGAUAUUGGGAGGAACACCGGAGGCGAAGGCGGCUUACUGGACGAUUACUGACGUUGAGGCUCGAAGGCGUGGGUAGCAGACAGGAUUUAGAUACCCUGGUAGUCCACGCAGUAAACGAUGAAUACUAGGUGUCGGGAGA